GAUGAAGAACGUAGCGAAAUGCGAUAAGUAGUGUGAAUUGCAGAAUUCAGUGAAUCAUCGAAUCUUUGAACGCACAUUGCGCCCUUUGGUAUUCCUUAGGGCAUGCCUGUUCGAGCGUCAUUUAAACCCUUCAAGCUCAGCUUGGUGUUGGGUGACUGUCCGCCGCCCCCGGGCGCGGACUCGCCCCAAAUUCAUUGGCGGCCGGUACGUAGGCUUCGAGCGCAGCAGAAACGCGAACUCGGGCCCGCGGUGUCGGCUCCCAGAAGCCAUCUCUUUUAUUUUGACCUCGGAUCAGGUAGGGAUACCCGCUGAACUUAAGCAUAUCAAUAAGCGGAGGA
RNAcentral lists this unclassified non-coding RNA (338 nucleotides) under soil metagenome. Its description in RNAcentral is "partial contains 5.8S ribosomal RNA, internal transcribed spacer 2, and large subunit ribosomal RNA". The stretch from base 1 to 120 matches the Rfam family "5.8S ribosomal RNA", at positions 35 to 154 of the family's 154-position model. The record is from RNAcentral.